This 926-nucleotide long non-coding RNA is filed under the name Solanum tuberosum (potato). Its description in RNAcentral is "long non-coding RNA (STUB_LNC008180)". Lineage: Eukaryota; Viridiplantae; Streptophyta; Magnoliopsida; Solanales; Solanaceae. The record is from RNAcentral.
AUGAUGAAAACUAGUUUCAUACUCUUUAGAUAACCCUUUACAUGAUGUGCUCAUUCACGAAUUCAAGAGUCUUGUCUUAAGAAGCUAUUCUCAAUCACUUUUCCAUAUGUAGUGAAUUUCUCUGGAAUACUUGUGUUUGUAGGGGAUUGUAACUGCCCCAAUAUUGUAUGCCAUGGAGGAAUUUCCUCAACUGCGUACGCUGGUGGACCGAGGUUUUGAUGAUCCUGUAAAUGUGGAGAUCGUAAGCAUUUUUGUGUUCAUUUUCUCCUAGCAUGUCCAUAAUCACCUUUGUAUUCUUAUAAACUUUGUGGUUGAAUGUCCUUUAUACCUUUUUUUUUUUUUUUUGAUGACAAGGGAAACCCGCAGCCGCUACCCUUUUUGGGUGCACACAGGGUAAAACCCCCGCUCCUAUGCAAUAGCUCGCAAACCACAUAGGAGAGGUAACCCGCACUAGGCAAGCCUGGUGCGACGAGCUCGACCCAGAAGGCAAACCCCUUGCUUUCGCAUGCACGAAAGCAAGGGGUUUCGAACUUGAGACCUCCAACAUGGAAGUCCCAAGCCCAAACCACUGGGCUACCCUGAAGGGUCCUUUAUACCUUUUAAUUUGGCGCUUUAAUGAAAAUGAUGAUAAUGACUUUACUUAUCCAAAUGAUAGAGGUGUGUUUACCCUCUAAAUAUGCCACAAUUUUCUAUCAAGUCUAUAGCUUUAGUUCUAUUUUUAGGGGUGGCAAUUGGGUGGGUCAAAAUGGGUCAAGACAAUAAACAGGUCAAGACCCAACCGAGUCCAAAUUUGUUUGGGCCAAAAUGGGUUGGGUCAAAACAGGUUAGUAACGGGUCAUAACCCAACCCGCCCAAUUUUUACUAAGUUUUAAUUGCUUUAUUUGUUAUUUUAUAAGCUUUUAGUACCUAUUUUUUUUUCUUUAUUA